This is a long non-coding RNA of Ornithorhynchus anatinus (platypus), 902 nucleotides long. RefSeq lists it as uncharacterized. NCBI's taxonomy places the organism in Eukaryota, Metazoa, Chordata, Mammalia, Monotremata, Ornithorhynchidae. The transcript is spliced from 3 exons. The record is from RefSeq and is a predicted model, not a curated record.
UGGACCCUACUCGGCCUCCUAGUCAGUGGGACAUUCUGGUUUGUCAGCUCCUUCAAACUGGGGAGGGACAAUAGUAUAAUCGGUUUUCGCAUGAAAGGAAACACGAUUGUCUGAGACUCUUCUCCUCCCUGCCUCUCCCUAUUCAUAUCGGGGAUCUUAAAAUCAGGUCCUGUAUCAUGCAAGAAUAUUCUGUCAACUACAUACUUUUAUGUCUGGCACACGCAAACACAUACACACACACACACACAUACAAUUCAUUUUCUUUUGUACUUGAAAUAGGGGCAAAUGGCAGGAACCUCCCUGUUUUCACCCCAUGACUUUUCUUAUGCAGUGUACCCUGAGGAUGCCGUCGGAAUAGUAAGAUUCCAGUUUCAAUGUUUACCGGCCCUCUCAGACAAGCCUUAACGGGUCCAACGGCUGAGUGCGAUUUUGCAGUUUGAGAAAAAUGAAAUUGAAAUUUGGACAUCCCAAAGACAGUCUGAAAGAUUACCUUCACAUCUCCAGAAGUCUGAGAAAAUCAAGUAGAACAAAAGUUCAAGAGAGAAGUUCCGAGCCUUGCUGGGUUGCGCUGGAAGCAGAAGCUUAUGGAGUACUUGGGAAUUAACUUAUUUACACUGUCCUAACACUCAGAUAUGCUACCAUUGAGGAUAUUUCACCAGCCGUUCCAAUGACCGAAACUCUUUAAAAACACGAGGAACAUCACGGCAGUCUUCGUGUGUGUCACCCAGUGACAUUCUGCAGCUCGAGAACGACAUGUAACAAUUUGUAAACCUGUUAAGGCAGAUUAGCAGAGUACUGCAUCAGAAUACCUUUAGGCGAGGGAGGUAAGAGGGAGAGAAGAAUGAGGGAAACACAUGAGGGUAACAUCUGCAAUGAAUAAAAACAUAAUUCUAGACCCAGGA